GUUUUUAGUCGCUGAGUGUUCCAGCAGGGGUCGGUGCUGCUGCAGUGGAGCAGGAGCUGAGUUUUCCAGCAGGAGCUGAGUGUUCCAGCAGGGGUCAGUGGUGCUGCAGCUGAGCAGGAGCUGAGUGUUCCAGCAGGGGUCGGUGGUGCUGCAGCUGAGCAGGAGCUGAGUGUUCCAGCAGGGGUCGGUGGUGCUGCAGUGGAGCAGGAGCUGAGUGUUCCAGCAGGGGUCGGUGGUGCUGCAGUGGCGCAGGGGCUGAGUGUUCCAGCAGGGGUCGGUGGUGCUGCAGCGGAGCAGGAGCUGAGUGUUCCAGCAGGGGUCGGUGGUGCUGCAGCUGAGCAGGAGCUGAGUGUUCCAGCAGGGGUCGGUGGUGCUGCAGUGGAGCAGGAGCUGACUGGUGCUGCAGGAGCUGAGUGUUCCAGCAGGGGUCGUUGGUGCUGCAGUGGAGCAGGAGCUGAGUGUUCCAGCAGGAGCUGAGUGUUCCAGCAGGGGUCGGUGGUGCUGCAGCUG
Molecule: long non-coding RNA, 510 nt
Organism: Oncorhynchus tshawytscha (Chinook salmon)
Lineage: Eukaryota; Metazoa; Chordata; Actinopteri; Salmoniformes; Salmonidae
Source: Ensembl